Molecule: long non-coding RNA, 6085 nt
Filed under: Sus scrofa (pig)
Lineage: Eukaryota; Metazoa; Chordata; Mammalia; Artiodactyla; Suidae
Description: lncRNA (ENSSSCG00000044333.1)
Source: RNAcentral
CUUUUUAGGGCUGCACCUGCAGCAUAUGGAGGGUCCCAGGCUAGGGAUCCAAUCAGAGCUGCAGCCGCCGGUCUACGCCAGAGCAACAGCAACACGGGAUCUGAGCUACGUUUUGACCUACACCACAUUUCACAGCAACUCCAGAUCCUGAACCCAUGAGAGAGGCCAGGGAUCAAACCCGCAUCCUCGUGGACGCUAGUCAGGUUGGUUAACCACUGUGGCACGACAGGAACUCUGCAGAUGAAGCCUUUAAUGUCCCUCCCUCCUCCCCACCCACCUCCAACCUUAAGGAAGAAGCCUUGAACGAUGAGCAUCUCGAGGGGGCAGGGCCCUGCCUGGUCCCCAAGCUUAGCAGAGUCGGCCCACAGGUCAGUCACCAGCAGGUGUCUGCUAGUCAGACCCUGAAUGGAUGAAGGGUGGGUAAACUGCACGUCUGAAUAUCUGCGGUCAUGGAGAAGGAGGCAGCGUCUUAAGAGCAAAACAGCAGAAACCCAGAGACCACAAGAGGUCUGCAGAACACCUAACUGAUGGUGACACAUGCCACUCGGCCAAACCACCUGACCCGGGUCCGGCCAACAGUCUGCGGCUGGAGCUCCCUGUUCAAGCCCUGGCGGCGGCGGGGGGGGGGGGGGGCUGCACAGGGCUGGCUCCUCAGGCCAAUAGAGACCACGCGUGGAUCCUCGGAACGCUGACCACGGCAUGAACACAACCUGAGGGGGGAUGGUUCCCCUUCCGAAGCCGGAGUGGGGUAGAGAGAGGAAGACCGACGGCAGCGCACUGGCCACGAGGGUAGAGGAGGGGAGGUGGGCCGAGCUGAGACCCGUUUCUCUCGUGUCUCACGCUUCCCUGGGAGGUGCUGAGCGCAGCCGCGCCCCCCACCCCCGGAAGAGAGGGCGGAUUUCGAGAAAGAAUGAACCACAUGCACAACAGGAGACGUCUCCUGAACACCCUCCACAUCUCCCACCUGGGAGCAGAACUGUUUUCAAGCAAGGGUCCCCUUGGACCCUUUGCAUUACUGCCUAGAGAGGAACUGCAGGUGUGGAGGCAGUGAUGAAGCACUGCCUGUCACUAGGGGGUGGGGGGACACUCCUGGACGGUCCUUCCAGGAGGCGGUGGCAGGCUCUUCCUCUCUACUACAGGGUGGAAUGGCUCCAGUGGCGCUCUUCAUCAGCCCCACAGCCCCCUCUGCUCCCCCCAUGGAGACACAAUCCUCUUCAUCGACAGCGUUCCCGGCACAGGAGGGUGCAUGUGUGUUAAGACAGCCCCUCCCACAACAAAGGCAAGGAUGUUGAUCACAGUGGACUAGCCUCGUCCAGGAUGUUUUGUCUUCAUGAUUUAAAAGCUCUUUCCAUGGAUUCCCUGGUGGCUCAAUGGGUUAAGGACCCAGUCUCCACCAAAGCCUCAGGGGCCCUUGGGCUCACAAGAGUGAUUCACGGGGCCGUAUUUAUUACCCAUUCACAAACCCUUUAGGGGACACUUUUGUGGCCUCUCAGUCUUAUGAUGCUCUCCCCUCUAAAAGAAUCUCACCUCUAUUGAGCUGGACAUCUAUAAUAAGAACCAACCCUACUAUAGAUAUAUUAAGGGAGAUAUUUCAUCCUCUCUCUAAAUAACACACAUCAUAUGAAAGAUCUUUAUUACAGCAUCUAUCUCACUCUUAACCUAUUUUCCAUCAAUGACCAAUGUGCCAAGCACUAUUCUAAAUGCUCUGCACAUUUUAACAUUUAAUUCUCAACAGCCAUGAUUUGGGUACUACUAUCACCUAUAUUUUCAGACUAAGACUCUCUGAGGCUCAGAGAAGUUAAGCAACUUGCCUCAGGCCACACAGCUAGGAAGUGUCAGAGAUGUGUCCAUAUCCAGGCAUUCUGGUUUCACAGCCAAUAAACAGUCACCCACUGCAUCCCCCUGAAUUUCUGAAAACAGAUCUUGUACGCCAUGUGGUUUCACUGGGCAUAGAGACCACCCGGGCACCAUCCACUGAGCAACGUCUUCCUAUACUGCUGUGGUUUAGUGUCAUGUCUUUAGAAAAAGCGAGCAAGAGUGUGGCUGAAGGGGGCGGCAGUCCAUUCCAACAGGGACGCCAUUCCCAUCAGCGGGAAGGAUGCUCACUUGUCCCAGUGCUUCGUCCUGAAGGAUGUGAAGGGCACCUCUGAUUAGACUUCACAGGGUCUUUGCCUUGGAUUCCGGUCAUGGAGCCCAACACCCAUGCAAGCUGACGUUCUCGCAGGCUCACCAGCUUCUGCAGGCGAAGCCAUGAUGGCGCUUGCUGUGAUGUAACAAACACAGCGGGGAAGACAAUUCCCCGAGAGCGCCUGGAACACCAUGGGCGGCCAGUGAAUGGAGUUGAAUGAAUGAACGAGUGAAAAAAGGAGAAGGCGGCACCACCAAACUGGGGGGUGGGGGUGGCUGGGGGUCCUUGCCUUCCAAGGACUGAAUGGACCCACACCUGCUCUCUGUGGGUGCCCGGGGGCUCCUGACAACUGGGGGAUCUGGGCUCAGGGGUUAGAGUUUGGUUACGACCCAGAGUUUAUGUUGACGGGGUCAGAGGAGCUCCCAAGUAGAAUUUGCCUUCAAACCGCACACUCCGCCUCCCCCCACAAAAAAAGAUGCUUCAGUUUUCACAAAGCAGUUAUAACUAUAGGGUGAAUUCCCAAUAGCCAGAUAGCGGAAGCAACCCAAACGUCUGUCCACAGAUGAAUAAACAGAAUGUGGUGCAUGAGCCCAGCGGGAUAAUAUGCAGGCUUACGAAGGAUGAAUCUUACACGGGAUGGGAAAGGAUGCUGAGAGGUUACCUCAUCUAUCUCUGCCUUCAGGCAAGCUCAGCAAAGCCCUACAAGAAAGAUGAGCCUUGUUCUGCUUGCUAAGGAAGGAGAGGGCAUCGGAGGUGAAUUCUUAACACUCCUUGUCAGGCAAUCCUCCUCACAAUCCAUCUUCAAGCCUGUGAGCUGGUCAUGAUUGUUACAGCAGCAUUUUAGCUGCUGGGUUUUAUUAUUAUGGGAUUAACUGAGAUUGCUGUGUGUGCCCCCAGAGGCUUUUUAAAACAACUGUUUUAAAAAUUGAAAGCACCGUCAGGGAGUGGAGCUAAUAAAACGUGCUUGGUGGGAGCAUCCUAUUUAGCAAAAUUUCCUACCUCCAGCCUCCAGGACCGGUGAAAAUUCACGAUUUCCCCCUAUUUCAGCAUUCAGGGAAAACAAAAAACAAAAAACAAAAAAACCCAGCUGUGAUCGUAUCUUUCACGUUGAUUUGGAAUCCGCCCGCCCGUCAUUGUGAAAGGCGGGAGGAAAGGCUGUGUGGCCCCCUCUUCUUUCCCAUUUUCUUUUACUUCGUUAAUGGAGCCAUUUCCUGUAAAAUAGCUUUUUUUCAGCACUAACUCCCAAGCAAUGCAUCUUGACUGCAAUGUCUAGUGUUGGUGGCUGGAUUCACAGAGCAAACCUUUACCCCAUCAAUUUAAAUGACUGCCAAGCUCAGUCCAAUGAAUACGGGAGGCAGGGGGCUGUGGACCACCCAGUGAGGAGUGGGAGGGGGUCUGGCCCUGGGCUCCCAACAACAGGAAGUGCUCCAUUCCCACUCGCAUCUCCAGCCGCCACCCUCCACUCGCCCACUUUCCCUGAACCCCAGAGACCCUCCCUGCCAAACAAGCUCAUUCUCUGGCCUGCCCGGGAGCGGUUCCACCUGGGCCUGUCUGUCAGGUAGAAAACACCUGGCCACUUACAGCCCUGACCUUGUCCAAUCGCAUAAAGUAUUCAUGAGCCGCAUGGCGGAUGCUGCUACUUAUCAGUCUAGUCACAACAUUGGCUCUGGUAUCAGAAGGUCCAGGUUCAAACUCCACCCCAUAAAUCUAUGUAGGUAAUUCACCCCUUGAGCCUCCAUUUCCUCGUCUGUAAAAUGGGGCUACACAUACUGAUCUCGUGGUGUUGAUGAGCUGAUGAGAUGAGCCGUGCAUGCGGCUCUGACAUGGUACCUGGAGCUCGGUGGGGGCACCUCUCCUCACUUCACUCCCCAGGGUGGGUUUGCAUGUGGACGCCACGGGCAAUGCUGUGAUUCAAAAGGGUGAGAGGUGAUGGUUUCAGUUCCACGCGAGGUUGCCCGUGGGCUGUAUUUGGGGAACUGAAGAAAGGGUGCCCUCUUAGCACCUCUAGAAUCUCUGUGCGUCCAUCGCUACUGGCUCUUCUUCUAGACCACAAACGUGUCCUUGACCUUCUGCAAUGACAAGUUCCCAGGCAAACUCCCACACUGCCCUCCUGCCCUGCCUGCUCCUUCUGGCCUCGGCGUUGGCUCCGCAGGGCGGAUGUGUCAGAUCCCACUUAACUGCUCAGGGGGACAGAGACACCCACCCGGUCCCCCGCUCCAAGCUCCAGUGACGAUCGGGUGAGUCACGGUUGGAAGCCCGCAGUGCUUCUGUCUCCUUCAGAGUGUAAAUUGUACAGGAUGCUCCCACACGCUCCAUUCUGGGACCUGGGUUCUCGGACCCAGAGGUUCCUAGGCUAGGGAUCAAAUCAGAGCUGCAGCUGCCGGCCUACACCACAGCCACGGCAAGGCGGGAUCCGAGCUGCAUCUGCGACCUACACCACAGCUCACAGCAACACCAGAUCCUUAACCCACUGAGUGAGGCCAGGGAUCAAACCUGUGCCCCUAUGGAUGCUAUCCAGGUUCAUAACCUGCUGAGCCGCAGUGGGAACUCCCGGCCCACUAUUUCUAAUGGCAACUUAUACUUUUCCUUUGCUUUAUUUGUCGCCAUCGAAUAUCUCCCCAUCCGCUGCUCAGGACAUCCCCUCUAAGUUAAUAUCCUUGUGGCUUUUAACCCCUUAACUUCAAAGAGUACGCACAUCUUUCAAAGCAAUAUUUUCUUCAGCUGAAGCUUAUCGCUUGUAUAGGAAAAAUGUAUGUGUACAUUCCACUGGCUCAGUGUGACAUCCGUAAUAAAAUGAUGUACAAUCGAAUCUUGAGUUAUGGUCCAGGGACUGUUGGUAGAAGGUCAGAAGCACGUGGGGGUGUUUGAAGGGCUUUCCGAGUGACAGCAAAGCGCUGUGCACCUCGAGGUUUCUCCGCUGCGCCAGUCUCAGAAUUCUUCCCCUGGUGACGAAUGCUUCAGUUCAGGAAACUGCUUUGUGUUUUUAUUGUAAAAAUAAAAAAUGUACUGUAAAUGUUAUCUGCAUUGUUACCUACAAAUGAUUAAUUGAGCGGUGCUGGCCUGACUUAUUUGCCAUGACUCAUCUUAGAGGUAAUGCCGGUGACCCGGCAUGCAAACCGGGUGUGUCGCUGCACACAGGUGACUGUCAGCAACCAUAUGAAUUGGUCAGGGACCAAGAAGUGAGGCUUUACGCUUUCUUAAUGACGCAGCCUCUGGGGGUUAACCGCAUGUGGGUCACGUGUUAGGAAACUAACCGGAAGUUUGGGUGGAUUUGCAACAUCCUGAUUUUUCCCACUUAAUAUGAUGCGUUGUGCUAUAUUAUUUAUCUUGCUUAUUGUCUGUCUGUCCUCCCUGAAGCAUGAGGGCUGUGUGAUCCAGACCUUCUGUCGGUUCUGCGUCGCCGCCCCUCACAUUGCAGGAGCUCAGUUAGUCCUGGGAGGAGCUGUCUCUGGCCUCCUUGGGCUCCAGCAGGAGCUGCAUAAUAAGGACCUGCUAGCCUCGGCGUAGCCCUGGGCUCACCCGCUCCCCACCCAGAGGGCUGCCUUAAGGGGAUGGGGUUCCACCUCGGGGAAGAGGGGAAAAUCCAUGCAGCUCUGGAUGGCUGGGGUGGUGCCCAUGGGCCAUAGAAUAAACCUUCUCCAAGGAGAGAUGUCAGUGCAGCACUGAAGCCUGCUGCAUUCAUUGAGCACCAAGCAUGGGAGGCAAUAAGUAGCACUUUAUGUAUACAUGGGGGCCGGGUAGGGUGCUUUGGAAAUGGUUCCCAGUGAGCCCCCCCCUGGCGUCCAACCCUGCAUGAUCUCCUUUUAUGAGGGAGAUGGCUCUUGUGUCUCUCUCUCUCUUUUUUUUUUUUUCCGGCACCCUUGGCAUGCAGAAGUUCCUGGGCCAGGGAUGGUACCCGUAGUACAGCAGUGACAAUGCUUGAUCCUUAACCCACUGAGCCACCAGGGAACUCCUAGA